UGUUAUGGCAGCUGUGCGCGGGAUACCUUCGGGUAUGCCGAGUUUCAAGUUCUCGGUCCGCGAACCUGCGUACAGCUGCCACCUUC
This 86-nucleotide non-coding RNA is filed under the name Pseudomonas fluorescens. Lineage: Bacteria; Pseudomonadati; Pseudomonadota; Gammaproteobacteria; Pseudomonadales; Pseudomonadaceae. The record is from RNAcentral.